AUGAGAAAAAGUUCAGAAAUUUCCAUGAAAGCUUCGUCGUCGAUGGCAAGCGACGCGUCAGGGAACACUGAACCUGGCCAACAGGGCGUUCGUUUCAGUUCCAUGGACCAGUCUUGCUUUGCAAGACCUGGCCAGUCAAUCCCUGGCUACCCCCCAUUCUUUGGCCCUCAAUCUUCCAACUUUUACCUUCCUGAUGACAGUGUGGCUAAAGCGUGUGAUCCGUUUGAACCGAAUCCUCCACAGAGCAAUCCUGUGGCAGACUGGGAUCCUCAGGCCAUGCUGAGCAACCUAACCUUCCUUGAGCAGAAGAUCAAGCAGGUGAAAGAUAUCGUGCAGUCCAUGGGUAACCGAGGGAGCCAAGAUGUUGGUGGUUCCUGCGAGCUUGCCGCAAAGCAGCAGCUCGUCACCGCUGAUCUCACUUCCAUCAUAAUUCAGCUCAUCUCGACUGCCGGCUCCAUGCUUCCUUCCAUGAAGACCCCGCUCCUUAGCAGCAAUCCAGCGGUCAGGCAACUCAACACGCCUGGUUCUCCCAUGGGCUUUGGCUCGAUUGUGAAUCAGCGGCCAAGCACAGUCAGGGAGGAGAUGGUUCCUGACAUUAGCAAGACCUCUGAUUAUGAGGAGCUGAUGAAUACCCUUAACACAGCGCAUGAUGAAAAGGAUGAUCUGAUCAACUGCCCAAAUCCUUGUGUCGGGGAAGGGCCUGAGCCGGUUCCGAUGGAAGACCAUGACGUGAAGGAGAGCGAUGAUGGUGGUGAGGCAGAGCACCUCCCCCCUGGUUCUUAUGUGGUCUUGCAGUUGGAGAAGGAGGAAAUUUUAGCACCACAUACUCAUUUCUGUGUGAUAUGUGGGAAGGGUUUCAAGAGGGAUGCUAACCUAAGGAUGCACAUGAGGGGCCAUGGAGACGAGUACAAGACUCCCGCAGCUCUUGCCAAACCCAUGAGAGAUUCUGGCUCAGAUCCUACACCAGUUACAAGGUACUCGUGCCCAUAUGUCGGUUGCAAGCGGAACAAAGAGCACAGGAAGUUCCAGCCCCUCAAGACAAUCUUGUGUGUGAAGAACCACUACAAGAGAAGCCACUGUGACAAGAGGUAUACCUGCAGCCGAUGCAAUACCAAGAAGUUCUCAGUCAUUGCGGACUUGAAGACUCAUGAGAAGCACUGCGGGCGUGACAAGUGGCUCUGCUCAUGUGGAACAACUUUCUCAAGAAAGGACAAGCUGUUCGGCCAUGUCGCGCUUUUCCAAGGGCACACACCUGCUCUAGCAAUGGAUGAUAUUAAAGCAACAGGAGCAUCGGAGCAGCCUCAGGGGAGCGAGGCGAUGGACGACAUGGUGGGGAGCACAGGGUAUAACUUCCCAGGCAGCACGUCUGAUGGUAUUCCGAAUCUAGACAUGAAAGUUGCCGAUGACACACGUGGUUAUUUCUCGCCCUUGAACUUCGACCCGUGCUUCGGCGCCCUCGAUGACUUCGCCCCCCCUGGAUUCGACAUCUCCGAGAACCCCUUCUCCUUCCUGCCUUCGGGACCGGGUUCCUGCAGCUUUGGGCAGCUUAGUGGAGACAGCUGA
RNAcentral lists this ribosomal RNA (1563 nucleotides) under Triticum aestivum (bread wheat). RNAcentral's name for it is "partial small subunit ribosomal RNA". The record is from RNAcentral. Lineage: Eukaryota; Viridiplantae; Streptophyta; Magnoliopsida; Poales; Poaceae.